CCUUAAAAAAGAAGGAUAUCUCAUCAUUUGAAACAGCAUAGAUGAACCUAAAGGACAUUAUGUUAAGUGAAGCAGACCAGGCACAGAAAGAUGAAUACUGCAUGACCUCACUUAUAUUUGGAAUGUAAAAUACCAGAUUUCACCAUGU
Molecule: long non-coding RNA, 148 nt
Organism: Sapajus apella (tufted capuchin)
Lineage: Eukaryota; Metazoa; Chordata; Mammalia; Primates; Cebidae
Exons: 3
Source: RefSeq, a predicted model, not a curated record